This 376-nucleotide ribosomal RNA is filed under the name uncultured bacterium. Its description in RNAcentral is "bacterial SSU rRNA". It matches the Rfam family "Bacterial small subunit ribosomal RNA", at positions 524 to 898 of the family's 1533-position model. The record is from RNAcentral.
CACGGGGGAUGCAAGCGUUAUUCGGAAUUAUUGGGCGUAAAGUGCGUGUAGGCGGUAUUGUCGGUCAGAUGUGAAAGCCCGGGGCUCAACCCCGGACGUGCAUUUGAAACAGCAAUACUUGAGUACGGGAGAGGAAAGCGGAAUUCCUGGUGUAGAGGUGAAAUUCGUAGAUAUCAGGAGGAACACCGAUGGCGAAGGCAGCUUUCUGGACCGAUACUGACGCUGAGGCGCGAAGGCGUGGGUAGCGAACAGGAUUAGAUACCCUGGUAGUCCACGCAGUAAACGAUGUUCACUAGGUGUAGCGGGUAUUAAAAUCUGCUGUGCCGCAGUUAACGCAUUAAGUGAACCGCCUGGGGAGUACGGUCGCAAGACUAAA